RNAcentral lists this non-coding RNA (100 nucleotides) under unclassified sequences. RNAcentral's name for it is "skipping-rope RNA". It matches the Rfam family "skipping-rope RNA". From Rfam's summary of the family: Firmicutes, Fusobacteria, AlphaProteobacteria, Spirochaetes. Downstream gene The record is from Rfam by way of RNAcentral.
UGCUUGCGAGGUGAGAACGGCCUGCUCACGCUCCUGCAGUUUUGCAGGACAGUAGCCGAAAGGUGAAGAGAUCCUGGGAAUUGGCAUCCAGGCGCAAGUA